CGAAAGACUUCGACAAGGAGUAGUAGUGGUGCAAAGCCUGAUGUAGAGAGCUGGCGGUUGGUGCAAGCCAGACGGGUCCACCAUGAACUCGCCUUUGAGUCGCAGACGUGAAAGACAAGUAGCGUUUGCCGUAUUCCGCGUUAAGGAUGAAUGAAGCGAGUGUUACACACUAAUUUGGGUGGUACCGCGGGAGAUCAUACAUAACCUCUCGUCCCUUUU
Molecule: non-coding RNA, 219 nt
Filed under: Mesobacillus selenatarsenatis
Lineage: Bacteria; Bacillati; Bacillota; Bacilli; Caryophanales; Bacillaceae
Description: Bacillus selenatarsenatis T-box sequence
Rfam family: T-box leader
About the family: Uncharged tRNA acts as the effector for transcription antitermination of genes in the T-box leader family. T-boxes are found upstream of many aminoacyl-tRNA synthetase genes and some amino acid biosynthetic genes usually in Gram-positive bacteria.
Source: RNAcentral